This 448-nucleotide ribosomal RNA is filed under the name uncultured bacterium. RNAcentral describes it as "bacterial SSU rRNA". It matches the Rfam family "Bacterial small subunit ribosomal RNA", at positions 355 to 825 of the family's 1533-position model. The record is from RNAcentral.
UGGGGAAUAUUGCGCAAUGGGCGAAAGCCUGAUGCAGCAACGCCGCGUGCGGGAAGAAGGCCCUAGGGUUGUAAACCGCUUUCAGCAGGGAAGAAAAUGACGGUACCUGCAGAAGAAGGUGCGGCCAACUACGUGCCAGCAGCCGCGGUGACACGUAGGCACCAAGCGUUGUCCGGAUUUAUUGGGCGUAAAGAGCUCGUAGGCGGUUCAGUAAGUCGGGUGUGAAAACUCUGGGCUCAACCCAGAGACGCCACCCGAUACUGCUGUGACUUGAGUACGGUAGGGGAGUGGGGAAUUCCUGGUGUAGCGGUGAAAUGCGCAGAUAUCAGGAGGAACACCAGUGGCGAAGGCGCCACUCUGGGCCGUAACUGACGCUGAGGAGCGAAAGCGUGGGGAGCAAACAGGAUUAGAUACCCCCGUAGUCCCUGAGCGGGCUGGCAAGGCGCAU